RNAcentral lists this ribosomal RNA (774 nucleotides) under uncultured Neocallimastigales. RNAcentral describes it as "partial large subunit ribosomal RNA". It matches the Rfam family "Eukaryotic large subunit ribosomal RNA", at positions 24 to 649 of the family's 3401-position model. Lineage: Eukaryota; Fungi; Neocallimastigomycota; Neocallimastigomycetes; Neocallimastigales. The record is from RNAcentral.
GUAGUCUCGCACAGAUGCAUAUCAAUAAGCGGAGGAAAAGAAACUAACAAGGAUUCCCCUAGUAACGGCGAGUGAAGCGGGAAGAGCUCAAAUUUGAAAUCUUAAAGGGUUUCCCUUUACGAAUUGUAGUUUAAAGAAGUGUUUUCUGUUGAGGUUUUGGUAAAAGUUCUUUGGAAUAGGACAUCAUAGAGGGUGAGAAUCCCGUAUUUGACCUUUACUUUCAACUUUGUGAUACACUUUCAAAGAGUCGGAUUGUUUGGGAAUGCAGUCCAAAAUGGGUGGUAAAUUUCAUCUAAAGCUAAAUAUUGGCGAGAGACCGAUAGCGAACAAGUACCGUGAGGGAAAGAUGAAAAGAACUUUGAAAAGAGAGUUAAACAGUACGUGAAAUUGUCAAAAGGGAAGCGUUUGACACCAGUGUUGUUUUUCUGAAAAUCAAUUAAAGAACUGUUUAUGCUAAGUUGUUUAGACUUUAUCAGCUAACUGUUUAGUUUUGAGCUUUUCUUUAAUGCACUUUUCAGUUAACAAGUCAACAUCAAUUUCUAUUGCUGUAAAAAAGCUUGAGGAAGGUGGCUUGAGAUUCGUCUUAAGUGUUUAUAGCCUCUUGCCUAUGCAGUCGGAGAGAUUGAGGUCUGCAGCGUAGAUCCUUCGGGGCUAAAUGCAUUUGUGCUAAGUUAUAGCAUUUUAUAGACAACUUGUUGACUAUGAUUUGUCUUGUAGCUUACUCGCUUAUGUUAUUUUACCUACGCUUAGGAUGUUGAGUAGCGACAUACGCAC